RNAcentral lists this ribosomal RNA (444 nucleotides) under uncultured bacterium. RNAcentral's name for it is "partial 16S ribosomal RNA". It matches the Rfam family "Bacterial small subunit ribosomal RNA", at positions 354 to 796 of the family's 1533-position model. The record is from RNAcentral.
GUAGGGAAUAUUGAGCAAUGGUCGGAAGACUGACCCAGCCAUGUCGCGUGCAGGAAGACGGCCCUCUGGGUUGUAAACUGCUUUUAUCUGGGAAGAAAAAGGCCAUGCGUGGCAAAUUGCCGGUACCAGAUGAAUAAGCACCGGCUAACUCCGUGCCAGCAGCCGCGGUAAUACGGAGGGUGCGAGCGUUGUCCGGAUUUAUUGGGUUUAAAGGGUGCGUAGGCGGCUGAUUAAGUCAGCGGUGAAAGACUUCGGCUUAACCGGAGCAGUGCCGUUGAUACUGGUUGGCUUGAGUGUCGGAGGGGUACAUGGAAUUGAUGGUGUAGCGGUGAAAUGCAUAGAUACCAUCAGGAACACCGAUAGCGAAGGCAUUGUACUGGCCGACAACUGACGCUGAUGCACGAAAGUGUGGGGAUCGAACAGGAUUAGAUACCCUUGUAGUCC